Molecule: ribosomal RNA, 303 nt
Filed under: uncultured bacterium
Lineage: Bacteria
Description: bacterial SSU rRNA
Rfam family: Bacterial small subunit ribosomal RNA
Source: RNAcentral
UGGGGAAUAUUGCACAAUGGGGGAAACCCUGAUGCAGCGACGCCGCGUGAGCGAUGAAGUAUUUCGGUAUGUAAAGCUCUAUCAGCAGGGAAGAAAAUGACGGUACCUGACUAAGAAGCCCCGGCUAACUACGUGCCAGCAGCCGCGGUAAUACGUAGGGGGCAAGCGUUAUCCGGAUUUACUGGGUGUAAAGGGAGCGUAGACGGCAAUGCAAGCCAGAUGUGAAAGCCCGGGGCUCAACCCCGGGACUGCAUUUGGAACUGUGUAGCUGGAGUGUCGGAGAGGCAGGCGGAAUUCCUAGUG